This 847-nucleotide ribosomal RNA is filed under the name uncultured bacterium. RNAcentral's name for it is "bacterial SSU rRNA". It matches the Rfam family "Bacterial small subunit ribosomal RNA", at positions 642 to 1502 of the family's 1533-position model. The record is from RNAcentral.
UGAGUACAGUAGAGGUGGGCGGAAUUCGUGGUGUAGCGGUGAAAUGCUUAGAUAUCACGAAGAACUCCGAUUGCGAAGGCAGCUCACUGGACUGCAACUGACACUGAUGCUCGAAAGUGUGGGUAUCAAACAGGAUUAGAUACCCUGGUAGUCCACACAGUAAACGAUGAAUACUCGCUGUUUGCGAUAUACAGUAAGCGGCCAAGCGAAAGCAUUAAGUAUUCCACCUGGGGAGUACGCCGGCAACGGUGAAACUCAAAGGAAUUGACGGGGGCCCGCACAAGCGGAGGAACAUGUGGUUUAAUUCGAUGAUACGCGAGGAACCUUACCCGGGCUUAAAUUGCAGUGGAAUGAUGUGGAAACAUGUCAGUGAGCAAUCACCGCUGUGAAGGUGCUGCAUGGUUGUCGUCAGCUCGUGCCGUGAGGUGUCGGCUUAAGUGCCAUAACGAGCGCAACCCUUAUCUUCAGUUACUAACAGGUCAUGCUGAGGACUCUGGAGAGACUGCCGUCGUAAGAUGUGAGGAAGGUGGGGAUGACGUCAAAUCAGCACGGCCCUUACGUCCGGGGCUACACACGUGUUACAAUGGGGGGUACAGAAGGCAGCUAGCGGGUGACCGUAUGCUAAUCCCAAAAUCCUCUCUCAGUUCGGAUCGAAGUCUGCAACCCGACUUCGUGAAGCUGGAUUCGCUAGUAAUCGCGCAUCAGCCACGGCGCGGUGAAUACGUUCNNNNNNCUUGUACACACCGCCCGUCAAGCCAUGGGAGCCGNNNNNNNNNGAAGUACGUAGCCGCAAGGAUCGUCCUAGGGUAAAACUGGUGACUGGGGAUGGGUCGUAACAAGGUAACCA